This 301-nucleotide ribosomal RNA is filed under the name uncultured bacterium. RNAcentral describes it as "partial 16S ribosomal RNA". It matches the Rfam family "Bacterial small subunit ribosomal RNA", at positions 509 to 807 of the family's 1533-position model. The record is from RNAcentral.
CAGUAGCCGCGGUAAUACGUAGGGUGCGAGCGUUGUCCGGAAUUAUUGGGCGUAAAGAGCUUGUAGGCGGUCUGUCGCGUCUGCUGUGAAAACCCGAGGCUCAACCUCGGGCCUGCAGUGGGUACGGGCAGACUAGAGUGCGGUAGGGGAGAACGGAACUCCUGGUGUAGCGGUGGAAUGCGCAGAUAUCAGGAAGAACACCGAUGGCGAAGGCAGUUCUCUGGGCCGUAACUGACGCUGAGAAGCGAAAGCGUGGGGAGCGAACAGGAUUAGAUACCCGUGUAGUCCCUGUCUCUUAUAC